GAUUAAUAUUCAACAGCAUAGUGAAUUGCUCAAAGGCAAAAAAAAAUUUUUUUAAGUUCAUUAGACCACAUUCAUUCUGUGUCAGAAACCUAUGCUGUGUCGACUAUUUAAUUUUAGAUUUAAAUAAGUUUGAAGAAGAAAUCUUUAAUUGAUUUGUAAAAUCUUGACAUUUGUUUUGUGUAAAAAAAAAACCAUGUAAUGUCAAAAAUUUGAUCACAAUCCAAAUUCAGAGCUGUAUCACGCUUGAAUGUUUUGUCCAUACUUGCCACAACUGUUCAGGGUUCAACCUCUGCGGUCGUAUAAAGCUGCGCCCUGCAGAGCACCUGGUUAAACAUUGUGACUUGGAUAGAGAGUUGUCUAAUUGGCACUUAUACCACAUCUUCUUAUUGUUACUUAUAGGAUUGGGUAGGUAGAUUUGUAUUUUUAGCCUGUAUACUAAGCAUGAUAACAGGAUCAUGAUGAUUUAACCAAAAACAAUGUUGAAUUAUGAUAAAAGGAUACUAUUUAAAUUAUUGUGUCAACAUGAUUCACCACAUAGUCAAUAGAAACAUGAGAAAGAUAUGAAAUAAAACAAUGGAUUUAUUUAUAUUAAUCUAAAUAAAUAUACUUCACGACAAUAUAAAGAUAGAAAAGGAUUAAAUUUACUUCAGUGCUUGUUUCCUCUGUUUCUAUUGUUCUGAAGACCCUAAGUGGUUAAAUAUGUCAACAUAAUCAUGACAAAGAAUAAUUUCCCUGCUUAAACCAGGACAUUGUCUUUAUAUAGUUUGGGUUUAUAUAAUAGAUUAAGAAAUUUUCGGGUUAAAAAGUCAAUAUUUAUAAUACUGUAAAUUCCCAC
Molecule: long non-coding RNA, 835 nt
Filed under: Mytilus galloprovincialis (Mediterranean mussel)
Lineage: Eukaryota; Metazoa; Mollusca; Bivalvia; Mytilida; Mytilidae
Source: RNAcentral